Molecule: long non-coding RNA, 2247 nt
Filed under: Oncorhynchus kisutch (coho salmon)
Lineage: Eukaryota; Metazoa; Chordata; Actinopteri; Salmoniformes; Salmonidae
Description: lncRNA (ENSOKIG00005029983.1)
Source: RNAcentral
UUGGGCAGCCUGUCUAAAAGUGUCUCUGUUGUGUGCUUGUUUCUUUGUUUCUGUCUCUUGCAUACUGUAGCCAACAAUCAGUCAUCUCCUCUUCUUGUUUGACUGAAUUGGAUGUGUUGUUGUCCCAGUUCUUUCAAACACGAACCAGCACUGCCCCCUAGCUGUUCAUUCGCGGAAUAAUCGAAGUGCACGCACAUAGUAGUCCGUGAUCGCGCACCACGCUGUCCGGAAAAAAAAAGGUGCUGAAAUGUCGUCACUUCCGGGAGGCAUUCCUAGCCUGGGAAAAAAAAAGCGGGGCUGGGAGCUCUCUGUACAAACAACACGCCGGAGAGUGAUCAGCCAUGUCAUAAGACAACACUGAAAUCAGACUGAAUCUGUCAUCGGUUCAUAAAUUCAAUCUUUGUCAUUUUUUUCCCCCAGGACUGACCGACACGUAUAUCGACGAAGCCGUGCAUGAACUGGAAAGCACUGACGUUCAGCCGAAUAGCUCAUUCAAGACAAAAGCUCCAGCAGGACAGAUAGUAUGCUGAGUAAAGCGGCCACUAUGGAGAUCCCUAUCAACCGUAACGGAGACACGAGGACGCUGGCGGAGGAUGACAGCCUUGAACAAGUUGCUAAGCUACAGUGGAGCUUAGAUGAGAAGGUAGGGAGUUUCACAAUCACCAGGGUGAGAAGGACAACACUGUGUGUGUGUGUGUGUGUACUAUAGAUUCAAGCAAUGCCACCUAAUGUUUUGUCACGUUGUCUGACUUGCUGAAUGAAAUGGGUCUGGUAGUCAUUGCGUAACUUAACAUGGCUGCUAGGUUGCACAUCACGUGUAUUUAAAAAAAAUAUAUAUAUAUAUAUUUGUUUUUAAGUUGAUGACAAAGCAUUAGGCAGGUUGACUGAAUCUGUGUGUUGUGUUUCUGACCUCCCUCCUCCUCUACGCUAACUCUGGUCGAAGGUCUGUCAAAUCCAAUCGAAAUGAGGACGUGUCUCAGGGCUCUACAGUGCCCCCAUUUUUACUUGCAAUAUAAAACCUAAAUAUUUUUUGUUUUUGUGACCUGUGAUUCUUUUUUUUAUUUCAUUUUAAUUUUUUUAUUUAGGAGCAACUUUGCGACCUAGAGAAAUGUUAAACAUUCUACUACCUCAUAGUUUUCAUUGUGCCCCUACAUUUCUUUGUGUGCCCCUACAUUUUCCAACUGAAGGGGCACACGUGCUCCUUGUAAAAAAACAAAAACAAGAAGAAACCAAAAAAGACCCACUUUAUUACAGAAUCCUGUGUUAAUGAAAACAAAUCGUAUUUUAGGCUAAAAGAGGGCGACACCAUAGAGAAUGAUAGAGCACUCUUCUUUGUAUCCGUCCCAUUAUGGUGUCUGUUAGAGCACAGGCAGGGCCAUUGAGGUCAACUCCAUUUUGAAGUAGUCACUUUUUGUUCUUCUACUAUUUCUAUGAGUUAAGUAAACAAACUGAAAAUGUGCGUACUGCCCCCUGGAGGGUGUUGUCUGAACAGGUAUAAAGACAAGGUUGGUGAUUUACUGCCCCCUGGAGGGUGUUGUCUGAACAGGUUUAAAGGAUGGUGAUUUACUGCCCCCUGGAGGGUGUUGUCUGAACAGGUUUAAAGGAUGGUGAUUUACUGCCCCCUGGAGGGUGUUGUCUGAACAGGUAUAAAGGUUGGUGAUUUACUGCCCCCUGGCGUUAUGGAAUGUUUCCUCACGACUUUAAUUCAUUGGCUGAUCCUUCCUGGUGUGACCUGGAUGGAAUCAUGUGAUCCUUCCUUAACCCAUAGGAAGUCCCACCCAGUUGACUACUUCAAAAUGGUGUAAGUCCUCAACAGCGCUGCCCCAUGCUCGAACUUCCUUUAAGGAAAUGGAGUCCUCAUUUUGUCUUUAUGGACAAACACAUGUUGGUUUGAGAGACGUUCUUCUGCCCCAGUGGUUCUAAACUAACUACAACUCAUAGACCUUGUUUAACAGGUUUUAUUCUGAACAGGAAAUCCUUUUAACUGGUUUUAUUCUGAACAGGAAAUCCUUUAACAGGUUUUAUUCUGAACAGGAAAUCCUUUAACAGGUUUUAUUCUGAACAGGAAAUCCUUUAACAGGUUUUAUUCUGAACAGGAAAUCCUUUAACAGGUUUUAUUCUAAACAGGAAAUCCUUUUAACUGGUUUUAUUCUGAACAGGAAAUCCUUUUAACUGGUUUUAUUCUGAACAGGAAAUCCUUUAACAGGUUUUAUUCUAAACAGGAAAUCCUUUUUGUUUUUGAAGUGC